AACGCACGAGACCUGCGGACCUGCGGAGGGAUCAUUACCACACCUAAAACUUUCCACGUGAACCGUUUCAACUUUUUUGGGGACUCCUUGAUGCUAUUGCUUUCGGGUGUAUGGUGUCAGGUUGAGACCUAUCAAACGAAUGUUGAAGCUGCUAGUUUGGGACUCGCUUUUGUGCAGGCUUUUUAAUGAAGGCUAGUGUAAGGGUUUGAGACCUGGAUGAGCGGUUUUGACAAUUGUUUU
This 240-nucleotide unclassified non-coding RNA is filed under the name soil metagenome. RNAcentral's name for it is "partial contains 5.8S ribosomal RNA, internal transcribed spacer 2, and large subunit ribosomal RNA". The record is from RNAcentral.